UACAGAGGUCUCAAGCGUUGUUCGGAUUCAUUGGGCGUAAAGGGAGCGUAGGUGGCGGGGUUAGUCAGGUGUGAAAUCUCGGGGCUCAACCCCGAAACUGCACUUGAUACUGCCUUGCUAGAGUACUGGAGAGGAGAUUGGAAUUUACGGUGUAGCAGUGAAAUGCGUAGAUAUCGUAAGGAAGGCCAGUGGCGAAGGCGAAUCUCUGGACAGUUACUGACACUGAGGCUCGAAGGCCAGGGGAGCAAACGGG
Molecule: ribosomal RNA, 253 nt
Filed under: uncultured bacterium
Lineage: Bacteria
Description: partial 16S ribosomal RNA
Rfam family: Bacterial small subunit ribosomal RNA
Source: RNAcentral